This is a long non-coding RNA of Etheostoma cragini (Arkansas darter), 237 nucleotides long. RefSeq lists it as uncharacterized. NCBI's taxonomy places the organism in Eukaryota, Metazoa, Chordata, Actinopteri, Perciformes, Percidae. The record is from RefSeq and is a predicted model, not a curated record. The transcript has 3 exons.
UAGCCAGUCCACCAUUAUUAUAGCAAUCCACCACGGAACAUGCACGCCUGCUUUUAAAGGGAAUGUGAGAUAACGCUCUGAUUGGUUUAUUGCACGUUACGCCCAAACCACACCUAUGAGUAAUGUAGCUACUUCAGACCAACCCAUAUUAGAUUUAAAACGCCCACAAAGCUACUUGCGUUUGGCGUUUGGUACUUGGGUUUCAGAUAAUUGGGCCCACAGACUGGAAAGAGGAGG